UACUCUCUCGGACAAGCUGUAGGU
RNAcentral lists this non-coding RNA (24 nucleotides) under Homo sapiens (human). The record is from RNAcentral. Lineage: Eukaryota; Metazoa; Chordata; Mammalia; Primates; Hominidae.